GGCCCCAUCGUCCAGUGGUUAGGACACCGGCUUUUCACGCCGGCAACACGGGUUCGAACCCCGUUGGGGUCA
RNAcentral lists this transfer RNA (72 nucleotides) under Phycisphaerae bacterium. RNAcentral's name for it is "tRNA-Glu". It matches the Rfam family "tRNA". Rfam says of the family: Transfer RNA (tRNA) molecules are approximately 80 nucleotides in length. Their secondary structure includes four short double-helical elements and three loops (D, anti-codon, and T loops). Lineage: Bacteria; Pseudomonadati; Planctomycetota; Phycisphaerae. RNAcentral also lists the same sequence under 1 other name. The record is from RNAcentral.